This 981-nucleotide long non-coding RNA is filed under the name Pavo cristatus (Indian peafowl). RNAcentral's name for it is "lncRNA (ENSPSTG00000001127.1)". The record is from RNAcentral. Lineage: Eukaryota; Metazoa; Chordata; Aves; Galliformes; Phasianidae.
AAGGAAGAGCACAAGAGUCAGCAGUUCAGAAAUUGGGAUCCAGAGACACCAUGUUGGCUCUCUUGAGAACUCUGUGCUUCGGGCUUUCGGCAUUUUCACAGAUAAACCAGCCAGGUGAAGCAAACAAUGACUGCAUUGAAAACAGGCAUUGAAAGGCAGAGCUUGAGUUGUCCCAGUUUUUGUCCUGCAGAAGUCAAGGAAAUGGUCUCAAUUUGGAAAUUCAUUUCCUGCUGCGACUUGUGUUGAUGCAGUUUACACUGAAGAUAUGAAUCUGAUUUGACUCGGUGUAGGCGUUUUUCAAAUUGUGAAGUUUCGAGACUAAAGAAUGGAAGGACUUCUCUUAAACAAAAGGACUUCUCUUAAACAAAAGAAGCCCUUCUGCAUUUUAUGACAGAAGAAUUAAAAAGUGACCAGACAGGAAUGGCAAGGAACUACUGCCCGAAGUUUUCCUAACCAAGGAAUGUACAGAGUAAUACCAAAUGGUAUAAAAAGUGCUAUGCAAACUCAGUAGGAAGUCUAUAAUACAAUUGGCUGCAGGUGCAGCAUUUCACUGCUUCAAGUUAACUGAGUCACAUGGGUUAACUGGAGCUUUAUCAUAUCUGGAACAAUACAUUGCAGUUUCAGUGAGAUGCAAUAAAUAACGUGAGGUUAGACAUGGGCAAAAUUAUCACCACUUGUUCCAGAUAAUGCCUUGUCUUAAGCUGAAACCCUUAGAUAAAAAUCAGCGUAUUUAAGGACCAUAUGCAUUAUCUUUUGUUGUUGUUGUUUGUUCAUUCUUUAGAAAAUUAAAAUAAGCACUUUGUAAAAGCUUAACGCCUCAGGGUUUGUACCUCCUGUAUCUGUUUCCUGAAAUGAUACAUAGCACGUGCUGUUAGGAUGGAUGUUAGGGAUGAAUAUUCUUCCCACUGACCCAAGAUAAGUCAGCAGUGAAGUCUCUAGCCCUGUUUUGAAUAGUAAAUAUGUAGUCUAUUUAAUAUUCUG